GCACUUGAAGAGAGAGUUAAAGAGGACGUGAAACCGAUGAGAUGGAAACGGACAGAGCUAGCGUAUCUGGCUUGCAUUCAGCUUAUGCGGUCGCUACCGAUGCGUCGCUGACCUCCAGAUUGGGGCUUUGACUAGUCGGUCGGUGGCUGUGUUGUGCAUUUGCAAGUGGAGUGCGUCGAGGCAUCUGGGAUGGCGGAAUGAACUUGGCUUUGAGGCCAGCUUGCUGGUACCCGGGCCUGGGGAUUUCUGUUCGUUCUAGGUGUUUUUGCGGUCGAACAAGGCUUUGCGAGCCUGGUUGGGUGCCGAGCUGGGUGUCGGUGGCGGUCGCAUGCGACACGUACUGUGCCACCAGUUCGGUCCUGGCCGAGCUCACUCCAUGUUCAAUCUCGGCGUAAAAGCUGGUCAUCUUUCCGACCCGUCUUGAAACACGGACCAAGGAGUUUAUCGUGUGCGCGAGUCAUUGGGCGUUGAAAACCCAAAGGCGCAAUGAAAGUAAAUGUAUCCGCUCGGAACUGAUGUGCGACCCUGGUCACUGCGGUGGCCAGGAGCAGCAUGGCCCCAUCCUGACUGCUUGCAGUGGGGUGGAGGAAGAGCGUACGCGAUGAGACCCGAAAGAUGGUGAACUAUUCCUGAGCAGGAUAAAGCCAGAGGAAACUCUGGUGGAAGUCCGAAGCGAUUCUGACGUGCAAAUCGAUCGUCUGACUU
RNAcentral lists this ribosomal RNA (705 nucleotides) under Pratylenchus hexincisus. Its description in RNAcentral is "eukaryotic LSU rRNA". It matches the Rfam family "Eukaryotic large subunit ribosomal RNA", at positions 371 to 912 of the family's 3401-position model. Lineage: Eukaryota; Metazoa; Nematoda; Chromadorea; Rhabditida; Pratylenchidae. The record is from RNAcentral.